AGUUAGGUCACUUGCCCAAGGUCAUACAGCUGGUCGGUGGUGGAGCAGGGGUUUGUCUGUGGCCGAAAGCCCCUGCUCUUUCAGUGGCCCAUCUAGGUCAGCUUUGGGCAAAAGGCAACUUCACUGCUCAGCUCAGCAGAGAGCACCUGGGAGUGGAGGCUGCUGGCCACACUCACCGCAGGUCGGGAUGCACUGAAGCAGACUUGAUGUUGGUUUUUAUUCCACUUGGCAUUUCCCCUGGUUGGCCUGCGUGGGCCCUUUGCACCCCACUGAGCACUGACUGCUGCUGGCUUGGGGCACCUGAGAACAUGGAUGGGUGUGUGCCUGUUACCAACUUCGUACUCCCCUGCUCCAAACACACCCUUCUCUGUCCAGCUCUGUGAUCCUGUCAGCCAGUGCCGCGUAGGCCUCGUCAGUCCUAACACGGGGAAGGUGCUAGAGGAACACAGGCUUCUCUUCCUCGUUCCAGAACUUUCUUCCGGUUUCUACAGCACAGCUGCCAGUGGGCGGCUUCCCAGUGAGAUUUUGCCAUCACCCAGCACACAGUUUCCUGCUUGCCAACCGCAGCCUGCAGCACCUCAGCAAACUCCUCUGCUGUCCCGUGGGCCACCACCACGCCCUCACCAAUGAGUGCUGGCGGGGAGGGCGGGCCACUUCCAAGUUUAUUCCUUCCGUGGGUUUUCUAUGUCAUCUCUGGAGGUUGUGGCUGCCUCCUGUGUAUGUUCCUUCUGUAUUCUUUAGAGUCCUAUUUACCCCAUUCAGCGGUUAAUUUUCGUUUACUAAUUACCAAUUCUCUAUAUUGCAUGCUCCCUGUUCAAAGGACUGGUGUGGUCUCUGCCUCCUGACUGGAUCCUGGCUGAUACAGAAUGCAGUAAUUACUUCUUUCCCUUCUCAUUUGAGAACAAGGCCUUUCAAAGAAAAUGGAGAACAUAGUGGUCGGUAAAUACAGAAGUGAAAUUUCUGGGUCAUAAGGUAGCAGUUAUGAAUUCCACCAUGACCCCUGGACUACAAGAAAUGCCAAGCUCAGCCCUAAACUUCAUUGUCAGUUUCCUAAUCUGUAAAUGGGAUUAAAUGAGAGACCUAUGGUGAUUAGCACAGGGCCUGCCGUGUAGUAAUCAUUCAGUAAGUAGUAACCAGAGAGGGUGUUACUGCUGCUGCUGUUGUAGUUAGUUAGGUUCCUCACACCACACUCUGAUCCCAGGGAGAAAAUGUUCCUCCAUGAUUGCUUGAAGAGAGAACUGGCUAAGGAAAGUAGCAGCAAGUAGCAACAGGUCCAAAUGCCAAGAAUUUCUCGUUGAGUUCCCAGAGAAGUGAGUAUGGGAGCGCUGGGGCCAAAAAGGCAGACAGUAGCAAACCAGAGUGAGGACGUGGAGAAAUCAGGAACUUCACACUGCUGAUGGGGAGCUAAAAUGGUGCAGCCACUUUGGGGAACAGUCUGGCCGUUUUUUGAACAAAAUCCAAUAAAUGAAAGAUAUAAAUAUGAAAUAAACAAAUACACCGAAACACGGGAAGAGGAGGUCUCAACAGGCCUGGAACUGAACCUACAAGGAGUGGUUAAAGGAAGACAAAAUUAGAUUGAAGAGGGAAAUCUCAGCCCACAAUGUGUAGAGGAGCCAAGAAGAGAGUCUUUCAAAGGUACUGGGAGCAGCCCUUAGGAUGCCUCAGACCCAAGUGGGGUAAAGAUGUGGGAGGAGAUCCAGGGACCACUGCGAGGGUACUUAGUUGGGGCAUUGAGGCAGGAGCAGGUAGCACCCCCAUUGGAACCCAGGCAGUUGUGGUGGGAUGUGGGAGUUUAGGGCAGGGAGACAAGGCAGUACUGAGGUGGCAAGGACCACCCAGGAGAAACUGGUAGUGCCCAAACCCAGAAGACCAGCUGCUGAGAUAUCCUACUCCAGGGGUGGGUAACCCAUGGCACGCCAGUAAAUUUGCUGGCACAUGAAACCCUCUCUUAUAAUCUUCAAUUUACAAUCGUGAAUCUUUGUUCUCGGUGAUGAAUUUUGUUAAGUCUCGUAAUAGGAGUAGCCUGACAGAUGAAAGUAGUAGCUCGUGCAUA
This is a long non-coding RNA of Myotis davidii, 2053 nucleotides long. RefSeq lists it as uncharacterized. The transcript is spliced from 3 exons. The record is from RefSeq and is a predicted model, not a curated record. Lineage: Eukaryota; Metazoa; Chordata; Mammalia; Chiroptera; Vespertilionidae.